This 253-nucleotide ribosomal RNA is filed under the name uncultured bacterium. Its description in RNAcentral is "partial 16S ribosomal RNA". It matches the Rfam family "Bacterial small subunit ribosomal RNA", at positions 524 to 776 of the family's 1533-position model. The record is from RNAcentral.
UACAGGGGGGGCAAGCGUUGUUCGGAAUUACUGGGCGUAAAGGGCUCGUAGGCGGCCAACUAAGUCACACGUGAAAUCCCCAGGCUUAACCUGGGAACUGCGUUUGUGACUGUAUGACUAGAGUACGGUAGAGAGGGGUGGAAUUCCUGGUGUAGCAGUGAAAUGCGUAGAUAUCAGGAGGAACAUCGAUGGCGAAGGCAGCCCCUUGGACCUGUACUGACGCUCAUGCACGAAAGCGUGGGGAGCAAACAGG